Molecule: ribosomal RNA, 440 nt
Filed under: uncultured bacterium
Lineage: Bacteria
Description: partial 16S ribosomal RNA
Rfam family: Bacterial small subunit ribosomal RNA
Source: RNAcentral
CCUACGGGAGGCAGCAGUGGGGAAUAUUGCACAAUGGGGGAAACCCUGAUGCAGCGACGCCGCGUGAGUGAAGAAGUAAUUCGUGAUGUAAAGCUCUAUCAGCCGGGAAGAAAAGGAGGGUACGUGAGUAAGAAGCCCCGGCUAACUACGUGCCAGCAGCGGCGGGAUUACGUAGGGGGCAAGCGGUAACCGGAUUUAUUGGGGGGAAAGGGAGCGUAAGCGGGAGUGCAAGGCUGGAGGGAAAGGCGGGGGCUCAACCCCCGGACUGCUCUGGAAACUGGACGGCUGGAGUGCAGGAGAGGUAAGUGGAAUUCGUGGUGUAGCGGUGAAAUGCGUAGAUAUUAGGAGGAACACCAGUGGCGAAGGCGGCAUACUGGAGCGUAACUGACGUUGAGGCUCGAAAGCGUGGGGAGCGAACAGGAUUAGAUACCCCUGUAGUC